AAGGUAAAGCCGAGAACUCCUCCACUCUCUUUAGUUAAUCGUUUCUGAUGUUGAAUCUUUCCCUUAUCUGUUUAAUCAUUUUCUUUGCUUGAUUUUCUCGAUUAUGAUUAAACAUGGACUCUAGCUUUUCUUUGUUUAAUCGUUUCUUUGCCAUCUUGUUUACUUUAAUAAUAAAUAGUUAUUAAAAAUAGUCGUGAGAUACUCAAAGAUCGAAAUAGAAUCUGGAGAUCCCGAGAUCUCUAGCAGAGAUCUGAAGAAUACGGCGGAUGAGGACCUUAAUGAGGGAUUUGUUCUCCCUAUUGAAAAAAACGCUAAAGUAUUAUUUUUCUUCUGAGGAGAAGCCUUAACUUAUUCGUUAUGUUCUUUUUCCUUUACAUGCCUGAUAAAGAGCUUAGAUUAGUCCAGUUUUGAUGAUUUUGUACAUUCUAAUAUGUCUCCUUAACUGUUUUGUGAAGCAUU
RNAcentral lists this long non-coding RNA (459 nucleotides) under Arabidopsis lyrata. RNAcentral describes it as "long non-coding RNA (ALYR_LNC002714)". Lineage: Eukaryota; Viridiplantae; Streptophyta; Magnoliopsida; Brassicales; Brassicaceae. The record is from RNAcentral.